UUGUGGAGGAGGACGCCGAAGGUGGGGCUAAUGACUGGGGUGAAGUCGUAACAAGGUAGCCGUACCGGAAGGUGCGGCUGGAUCACCUCCUAACAGGGAGACAACAAAAAUGUUUAAUAUUAUUAUUUUGUCACCUUAGGUCGAUCGGUAUCUCACGUUCUUAAUUUAUUAAGAAUUUCAUUUCCUAAGUUUUUCUAGGUCACACCCAUUAUUUUUCCUGGGCCAUUAGCUCAGGUGGUUAGAGCGCACCCCUGAUAAGGGUGAGGUCCCUGGUUCAAGUCCAGGAUGGCCCAUAUCUCUAUGUUGGGGGUAUAGCUCAGUUGGUAGAGCGCCUGCUUUGCAAGCAGGAUGUCAGCGGUUCGAGUCCGCUUACCUCCACUGAUCACCACCUCUUCCAUAAUCGAUAGAAAGGAAAUGUUUUGAGUUGUGAUCUAAUUCUGAACGAAUCUAGCUUCCUAAUGAAAUUAUUAAGAUGCUGGACUCAUUGAAUUAAUUUCAUUGUUUUCAGAGAACCUUGACAACUGCAUAGAUUAUUUUUUAAAGACAAUAAGCAUCUUUAAUGAUGCAGAUUUAUUAUUUGUGCGAAUGCAUUAAUAACAAUUCUAUUAAGCUGAUGCUUCAAUUUUGAAGUUAUUGGUCAAGCUACAA
Molecule: unclassified non-coding RNA, 648 nt
Filed under: uncultured Prochlorococcus sp.
Lineage: Bacteria; Bacillati; Cyanobacteriota; Cyanophyceae; Synechococcales; Prochlorococcaceae
Description: partial 16S-23S ribosomal RNA intergenic spacer; may also contain 16S ribosomal RNA and 23S ribosomal RNA
Rfam family: tRNA (bases 306-378)
Source: RNAcentral